GGAACACCGCAGUCAAUUCCUAACAACACUAAAGUGUCAGUUCUGUUCGUGACACCAAGGGCUGUUUUUCUUUUUCUCAUAUAAUGUUGAGGCAACUGGGAAGAAUGAGGUAGAGAAAACAUGUGUCUUAAACCUUACAUUCUGGUAGGGAGAGACAAGCAAUAGACAAGUCUAAGAUGCCUGCAGCCCUCUUGGACCACCAUAUGGAAUCUACAAGUUCAAGAUGAUCUAGUGCAAUAGAAUGAGAGAGAAGGAUCCUGAGCCCUGACAUCAUGGAGCCACCACUCCAGCUCUGGACCAACUAUCUAUAUUUGCAGAUAAAUAAAUCAACUUCAAUUUUGUUUAA
Molecule: long non-coding RNA, 346 nt
Organism: Pan troglodytes (chimpanzee)
Lineage: Eukaryota; Metazoa; Chordata; Mammalia; Primates; Hominidae
Exons: 2
Source: RefSeq, a predicted model, not a curated record